Molecule: long non-coding RNA, 1196 nt
Filed under: Bemisia tabaci
Lineage: Eukaryota; Metazoa; Arthropoda; Insecta; Hemiptera; Aleyrodidae
Description: lncRNA ENSSWEETPG004950
Source: RNAcentral
CCUGAGGUAAUUUACCGUUUACAAACGACCGACUUCAACAAUGCACCUUCCAUCUGAAACACUGAGUGAACUACCAAGAUAAACUUAAACAUCUGUAAACAGGUAAAUAAUGGACCAGUAAUUCAACAGGUAAUUUCUGCUAUGACUCUCCGUUGCCCACUAUACCUACAAAACUUCAGAGAAUACAUUAGACAACCAUUUUCAGGCACCUAUUGCAGCAUAAUUCAUGCGGUGGAUAUAUUUUGGAGUACGAUAGAGGAUACAAGUGUCAUUUCAAGGACUCUCUAAGAAACAAAGCCAACUGAAAAUUACAAUAGAAGAAGAAUAAAUACCUGCUUCAUAUUUUGACCAGUUGAGCGCUGAAUACUUGUGUCAUCAGGUCACAGCCUUUGAGAAGAAAAUUAAGAGAUGACAGUCCUCACACAACUUUUCAAAACAUUUACAAUUGCAAGUUAAGCAACUGAAAAACAUAGUGUGAGAUAAAGGUUUCACUAAAAUGAAUUGAAAUGAAAUAAAUGACAGAGCAGCAAACCAGGAAUCCUCUUAUCAAUAAUUUUUGUUUACUUUAAACUUUCGGCACGUGGAGCCAACGUUUCACUUUUGGGUGCUCAUCAUUCAGCACAUGGCCGCGCGAUUUGGAGGUUAAGAAUCUUGUUUUGAUUUUGUGGCACCUCCAGGCACCUCUAAUUUCUUUUUCCAGUCUUCUUUGUGUGUUAUCUCACAGCGGUCUGAUAAGAAGCUAAUUUUCGACCAUGCCUGAAACGUAAGUCAACAUAAAAAUGCACACUUUCAUCAUCUGUCUAGGAUAAUAAUAAACAACAUUCAUCAGAAUUGAUAAAAACGAAACACAAUUGAUAACACUGAUAACACAUUCAUGAAGUGUUUUUGUGCGACUUGCCAAGCAAUGACAGACCAUUUGUCAUUGCACAAGGAUACAUUUUAUUUAAAUUCAGUAACGUUCAUAUUUUUGACUUAUAUUGAGCUCUGCACAGAUGCAUCAGCCACCGAUUCACAAAUAUAGGAUCUGUACAAUCGCAAACUUAUGCACUGUUCAAAUUGUUCACAAGCGUAUCUUCAGGGAGCAAAAUCCGGGGGCUGAGAAAUCAAAGAAACAGCUGAAGAAAGAAGCAAAGGAAGCAGAAAAAAGCUCAGAAAAAAGCUGAGAGAAAAGCAGCAAAUGUAAGUUCUUUUAAUUU